UCGGGAAUUUUGGGCAAUGGGCGCAAGCCUGAUCCAGCCAUGCCGCGUGAGUGACGAAGGCCUUAGGGUUGUAAAGCUCUUUUGGCGGGGACGAUAAUGACGGUACCCGCAGAAUAAGCCCCGGCUAACUUCGUGCCAGCAGCCGCGGUAAUACGAAGGGUGCUAGCGUUGUUCGGAAUCACUGGGCGUAAAGCGCGCGUAGGCGGCGAUAUAAGUCAGAGGUGAAAGCCUGGAGCUCAACUCCAGAACUGCCUUUGAAACUAUAUUGCUAGAGUGUCGGAGGGGAUAGCGGAAUUGCUAAUGUAGAGGUGAAAUUCGUAGAUAUUAGCAGGAACACCGGUGGCGAAGGCGGCUAUCUGGACGACAACUGACGCUGAGGCGCGAAAGCGUGGGGAUCAAACAGGAUUAGAUACCCUCGUAGUCCCUGAGCGGGCUGGCAAGGCGCAU
This 447-nucleotide ribosomal RNA is filed under the name uncultured bacterium. RNAcentral's name for it is "bacterial SSU rRNA". It matches the Rfam family "Bacterial small subunit ribosomal RNA", at positions 355 to 825 of the family's 1533-position model. The record is from RNAcentral.